GGCGGUGAGGGAUCAUUGCGGGGGCCGCGCGGGGCCGUGCGGGGGCGGUGCGGGCGGUGACCCCGGGGUGUGGCCCUCGGGAGGUACUAAAUCGUGCGGCGAGGGCCCGUUGUUUGCCGCUGGGUAGGAGCAGAGUCCUCUUGCAGCUGGAGGGCAGGCCAAGAAGAUGACGGGAAGAGCCCGAGCGAGAGCCAGGGGAAGACCUCCCAGACAGGAGGCUGCUGGACCUAUGGCAGGAGAUCCAGCUGUCGCACAGGAUCUGCCAGGUCAGCUGGGUGAGGCUCGGCAGCCCCAGCGGGUCGAUGUUCCUUCGCAACCAUCGGGAGAACCCGGAGGCCACGGACGACUGAGGGGCUUGGAGAGUGUUCAGCGGGAGAGAAGGCCAGAAGGAUUACGGGUUUCCUCGGGACUCCAGGAUUUGUGUUUACGAGAGAGGGGUGGACAUCGGAGGGAUUACCAUGACCUGGGGGUCAAUACUCGACAAACCAUGGUGCAUGUGCGAGAAUCAAAAACUGGUGCGUCAGGUAGAAUGAUAAAAUUAACUUCCAAUCACUUCCGUUUGACGUCUCGACCCCAGUGGGCUUUGUACCAGUACCACGUUGGCUACAGCCCCGAGAUGGAGUCGCGCCGCCUUCGCUCCGCUCUGCUCUUCCAGCACGAAGAGCACAUUGGCAGGACCCACGCCUUCGAUGGGUCGAUAUUGUUCUUGCCACAAAAACUACGCAAUAAGGUUACUGAACUGUUUAGUAGGUCUCGAAAUGGGGAGGAUGUGAAGAUAACAAUCACUUUGACUAAUGAGUUGCCACCUACUUCACCUACAUGUCUGCAUUUUUACAACAUCAUUUUUAGAAGGCUUUUGAAGAUGCUCAAUUUGCAGCAGAUUGGCCGUAAUUAUUACAACCCUGGGGAUCCAGUCAGCAUCCCUAAUCACAGGUUGAUGGUGUGGCCAGGCUUCUCAAGUUCCAUCCUCCAGUAUGAGGAGAGCAUUAUGUUGUGUGCAGAUGUGAGCCAUAAGGUUCUUCGUGGUGAGACAGUGUUGGAUGUUAUGCACAGUCUUCAUUCCCAGGUUGGAGAGGAAAGGUUUAGAGAUGCCUGUGCUAAAGAGCUGAUUGGUUUAAUUGUUCUCACAAGGUACAAUAACAGAACAUACAGAAUUGAUGACAUCAACUGGGAUAGCAAUCCAAUGGCUACCUUUAGAAAAUCAGAUGGUGCUGAGAUCACUUUCCUGGAGUACUACAAAAAGCAAUAUAAUAUAGACAUUGGUGAUCCAAAGCAGCCUGUCUUGAUCAGUCAGCUGAAGAAGAGUAGAAAUGUGGAAGGAACUGUGGUUCUAAUUCCAGAGCUGUGCUCUCUAACAGGACUAACGGAGAAGAUGCGAACUGACUUCAACAUGAUGAAGGACUUGGCGGCUCACACCCGGCUGCCACCUGAGCAAAGGCAGUGGGAAGUUGGAAGACUUCUUAACUACAUCCAAAAAGAUGACAACGUUCAGAAGGAACUUGGAAACUGGGGUUUAAGCUUUGAUUAUAAAUCAGUGACCUUUACGGGAAGAGUUGUUCAAGGAGAAAAGAUCUUUCAAUCAGGAAACAUGGUUGAUUACAACCCUCAGUUUGCUGACUGGACAAAGGAGACCAGGGGAGUUCCCUUAAUCCGAGCUGUGCCCAUGGACAACUGGCUGUUAAUCCACACCCGGCGCAACCACGACGUUGCCAACACCUUAAUUCAGAGCCUGUACAAGGUCACCCCCUCUAUGGGGAUCAGGAUGAGCAGGCCCACCACGAUUGAAGUAGAUGACAGAACAGAAGCUUACUUAAGGGUUUUACAGCAAAGGGUUACCCCUGACACAAACAUAGUGGUUUGUAUUUUGUCCAGUUCCCGAAAAGAUAAAUAUGAUGCCAUCAAGAAAUACUUAUGCACAGAUUGCCCCAUCCCAAGUCAGUGUGUGCUCGCUCGCACUUUAAGCAAACAUCAGACAAUUAUGACUGUUGCAACAAAAAUUGCCCUGCAAAUGAACUGCAAAAUGGGUGGAGAACUUUGGAGUGUUGAGAUCCCACUGAAGCAGGUGAUGAUUGUGGGAAUUGAUUGUUACCAUGACACUGUAACUGGAAGGCAGUCAGUGGCAGGAUUUGUCUCUAGCCUGAAUCAAACAAUGACAAGGUGGUUCUCCCGCUGCGUUGUUCAAAGUCGUGGGCAAGAACUUGUGGAUGGAAUCAAAGCCUGCUUGCAAACUGCUCUAAGAAACUGGCUCAAGUGGAAUAAGUGUUUGCCCUCUCGUAUCUUUGUGUACCGUGACGGUGUUGGAGAUGGCCAGCUACAUACUCUGGUUAAUUAUGAAGUGCCUCAAUUCCUGGAUUGCUUGAAGGACAUCGGUUCUUUCUACAGGACAGUAGACUCCGACAGAAGUCGCAGCUUGGAGGAAUCGAGUCCAAGACUUACUGUGAUCGUUGUGAAGAAACGAGUGGGUGCCAGGUUCUUUGCAGAGGUUGGUGGAGGACUUAAAAACCCACCCCCUGGCACUGUUGUUGAUACAGUGAUUACCAGACCAGAGUGGUAUGAUUUCUUUGUUGUGAGCCAUACAGUGAAAAAUGGUUGUGUCACACCCACUCAUUACAAUGUCAUUUAUGAUGGCAGCCAGCUGAAACCAGAUCACUUGCAGAGGUUGACCUACAAACUCUGCCACAUGUACUAUAACUGGUCGGGUGUUAUCAGAGUACCUGCUCCUUGCCAGUAUGCUCAUAAACUGGCUUUCCUUGUUGGUCAGAGCAUUCACAGAGAACCAAAUCUGAUGCUUUCAGACAGACUUUACUAUCUUUGAAGUUGAGUUAUCAGCCUUCUUCUCCAAGGAACACAGAAUUGUCUAAGGUCACUUGAGAAGGACCUUGUGCAGCUGCAGAAAGGUAGGAGAUGCUCACUGGGGGCUGCUCUUUCUCUUUGGUGCAGUGUUUGAAGGGGUGACUUGCACCAUGGCCAUGUGCUUGUCCUUGGCUCCCUGGGCACCAGGGAUCUGACCAGGGGUGCCAGGGCCAGGAGGGAGGGAGAGAAGGCUGGCACAGCAACCAAGCAGCUGCUACAGUAGAUUUAUGAAACGUACUGCACUCUACAAAAUAUCAAAUUAUUUAUUUAUAUAAAAUAUAAUACACAACAAUUGUACACAUGCACACACCCACACAGUACUUUACCACAACUUUAGGCCAGUUAUUUUCUUUAAUUAAAUGUUAUAAUCUAGCACACGGUAUCUUACAGUAAUUUACAUUAUUAUCUGAAGACACAAUGGGGAAGCUUUGAUCAUUCAUUUAUAAACCUUCCAUAAAUUACAAAAAGAAAGGCAGUCUGAAAAGUAUGUAUAAACAGUAAAAACAAUUUACAAAUGGACAAGAAUUACAAAAUAGUAACAGCCAAUGACUGCCAUCAGUGUGUAAGAUUGUUUGUCUUGAUAUGCCAAUAUCACAAUUAAGAUUUGAUUAGAGCCUCUUGCAGCCUCGUUACUGGCUGUGGCCUGUGACUGCAACACAGUUUGUCCUUUUUACUUUAAACAUGUACUUUAUCCUGAAUCUGACAUCAGCAAUAUGAAAAUGCCUUUUAACUUAGAACUGCACCUCCACAGAAAAAAAAUAAAUGGGGGAGUAAAGGGGUUUUGGUGUGGAGUUGGUUUGUUGUUUUGUUUGUUUGGUUUUUUUUUUUAAUUUUCCCAGUAGUUUAGAACAGUAAACCAGGAACCCCAAAACUGGAGGUUGAAUGGUUGAAAUUCUGGCUGAGGUUCUGAAUAACUUACACUGUAUCUGAUUUCAGUGGAGUGAAAAUAAGUUGACAGAAUAAACCAAUACAAGGGUCUGGUUUUUGGAGGUGGGGGGAAAUAAAGAAGCAAAAACUAAAAAAAAAAAUAAAAUAAAAAAAAAAAAGCGUUUAGCACAGCACUUUCAAACUCCCAGGAGUUACAUCAGACAGUGAAUGGAGUCAGUAACAUAGUACUUGAUCUUAAAUUACCAUGUUUUAGGGAAGAUGAAGACAGUUGAAUACACAGUACAUACAAAGUAUACGCUGUAUAUUUAUUAGACAGUACAAAUCAUUGUGCAUUAAUAAGGCAAAACAUCAAGGCUGAUUAAACUAGGAGUUUCAAGACCAUUUUUGUCAAUGAUUAGUUACAGUGGGGUGAUCUCUCUGAACUAGCAAUCAAGGAACAGAGUUUUCUCCCCACCACUCGUGGUUAAAGGAGGCUAAAAAGGCUGAGAUUUUUCCAGUGGAGUUGCAGGUGUUGAGUUGACUUCAAAUAAAACCACGUUCUUCUGCUCUUAAGCCCACAACAUUUUUUAUUUUUUAAAAAAAAGUUUUUGCAACAACAAAUCCACUUCCUUUUUUUUUUUUCUUGCUGUUUUGAUUAAGCAAUUCACAUGAUUCUAUUGAUGUCAGAGUUAAAAAUGCAGAGAGGUUUAGUAAAGUUGUACUGCAUAGUCAUGAAAGCCCUAGUUUUGACUUUAGAAAAAAAAAAAAAAUUAAAGAAAAAAAAAAUUAAAAUACACAGACUGGAAGCUUUUACAAGUUGUCCAGGAGCAGCACAUGAAUCAUUUCACUGCACCAAGCUUUUUCAGCAGUUUCUUGCCUUUGGAAAGCAGCCCCUUUUUCUUUUUCGAGGACAUAUCCCUGCCUCUCCCGGGACUACCAGAACCCAUAGGUGACGUAGGUGACCCGGAAUGGAGAUGAACUGUGGGGGAUGGUGCUCUCCGGGAUGUACCUGUAUUCUCAGGAGGAACCUAUUAGGUACAUUGUUAUAAUUUAUUGAAUGUUUGAAAGCUUCAAAGCUGUCAGCAUCAAGAAAGUUUGGUAACAUCACUUUGUCCCAUUACCCCACUUUUUAAGCAAAAGGGCUGGUUCCUUUCUUCUCUCUGGCUUAAAAUACUGCUCGGGCUUAUGGCAAAUGCAUAAAUUUAGAGGGGGGGAAAAAAUUGUAGAACAAUAGGAAACCUGCCAAUAGAGCCCUGGUUUGGUUAUACUUUUUUAAAGAAGUUGGAUACACUUGUUUUGCCAGAAUUCUGGCCACAAAAGCCACAAAACUGGCUUGGGUUUUGCAUUUCAGUACUCUGAUAGUACUAAAAUGGAGAGGGAUACUUUUAGCUAUAGAUUUAAGAAAAAUAAACGUGUUAAUUACUACAGAUUAGCAAUCUAUAGAAGCCAAACUCUUUUCAGAAGAAAUUACUUAAAAUGCUACGUGUUCACUUACUUUUUAAUGUCCUUUAAAUGCCUUUUCUUUAAAAUUGGCUAGCAAACUUUAUGUACAGAUUAGAGAAGAUGGCACACUGGCUUAAAAAAAAAAAAAAAAAAGAAAAAAAAAAGGAAAAAGAAAAAGCUAAAAUGAACCUUAAUUGCAAUCAAAGAAAGCUUAAAGACCCUGACUGCUUGAUGUAUAUGCUGCAGCCAUGAGGUUGUUAGAUGACAGCAUUCCUAAAUAUUUUGAACAGCUAAUUUUUAUUUUUCAAUCAUCAAAAGCACUUGGAUGAAAAUGCUAAAAUUGCUUAUACUCAGCCUAUCCUAACUACAGUGCCCAGCUGGCGAGAUGGGUUACUAUCAAUUAAGAUGAUAUUUUCAUAGUAGUAUCCAUGCUGGAGGGAGUCCUGUUAGCUUGGAGUUAAAACAUCAGCAAUUUACUGGCUUCUUGUGCAACAGUGAGUUAAGCAAAGGGGCUUCAAGCCGACUUUGAUUUUAAAUCAAGGUCUAAUUCUAAUGAAAAAAAAAAAAACAAAACCAAAACAACUUGGUAAAGCACCCCAACGUACACCUGAAGAUACCAUAUAUUGAGUCUAAUGCAUUCAUUCAGUGAGCUGCAUGUUUCAGGUCGAGACUUUUAUUGCAUUGGUAAACCAAACAGUUGCUAACAUUUCAAAUGUCCACUUUCCAGGACAAAAAUCCCAGUCAAUUGUGCCGUGGGAAGGGAUUGUUUUCGGGAGCGUUGAAUGGUUGGUCUUAGGCAGGCUGGGGUAUAAUCGAUUGUGGAAAACACAUCUUAAGGCAGACAAUUUAAGUAGCUCAGUUUGAGUGUAAUGAGUUUCAAAACCAACUAUACCCUUGUAAACUACCGUGUGCAUCAGCUUAGGCUGCACUUGGAUGUUCUGUAAGGGUUGGAGCUGUUGUGCUUUUCUCUUGUCACAGGAGCUUGGAAUUUUUCCCUCCCAGGUUGGCUAACAAUGCAAUAUGCAGCUUUGUUUGUAGGGUAGUUAGACAUCAAACUCUCCUUUCUAUGUAAACAUAAACAUUGAGCUCGUGAAGAAAUAUGUUCCAAACGCUGACCUUCAUAAAGUGAGGUCUAAUUGGCUUCCAAGGAUUCCUUUUUAAAGGAUUUGUCUCCUAAAAAAACCUCAAUUGACUCGACUAGAUUCAGCAGAAGCAUACAAGCCUGCUCUUCUGUGGCCAAGGCUUUUGGAGACAUAUUUCUUUCCUUUUCCCCCACAAUUAAGUUUCAAGACUUGCAUUAGAUAGCCAGGUAGCUUUAAUUGAAAUCUCUAUUGGUAUCUUCAGUUGCUCACUUACGUGAAGGCUACAUUGCCUUAUUAAGGUGUGAAAUGAACACUCUUCUUCUGUUUCCAAGCAGAUGAGCAAAGAAAUAAAAAUAUAUAUAAAAUAUAUAAUAUAUAAAAGUAUUGCAGUGAUGAAACAAAACCAAAAAUGAGAUACUCUAAACAUGGUUAAUCUUUCAUAAAAGAGAAGUCUCUGAGCAAUUAACUAAUGCCAGUUGGAACAGGAAGUCAUAAGGAUUAAAAGACGAGCACCGUCAGUCAGUCAGCUGCAGUUACAGUUUGUAUUUAGAGGAACACUGGUACCAAUCUUUUGUCCACGAGAGCUUUUUGUAGUAAGAGCAGUUUGGAAGCUUUAGGAAGUAACUAUCACCAGAGAAGAACUGCUUAAAUUCGAAUUAGAAUGGAAGGUACUGUAAUGACUGCAAUCAAACAGUCAAUUUAGUUUCUCCAUUUACAAAUGUAACGAGCCAGCGAAGGCUAAAGUCGCUUUUCCUUACGUUUUAUUCUAGAUAUUUGAGAGAGUUAAUUUUAAAUGGGCAGAUGAAUUUAAGGUGUUAAAAGUGACGUCUAAAUUACGUAUGAGACAGGAUGGAAUGGGAAAUAAAAGAAUUUAAGUUUGUCUUAUUCGGUUGCUUACCCUUUUUGCUUUUGACCGCGUCGGUGUGUCGUGAACGUAGCGCGAGGGUGCAUCGGAUAGAAAGACUUCAACAUCAUCAGGCACUUCUUCAAGAAAGUUGGAAGGAACCAGCCCCUUUUGUCCGUUAAGUUCACCCUGCAACACCAUGAAAUGUUUUAAUUAAAGCAAGUGUAGGUUCCCAAGAAGGGAAGGAAAUACUUUUGCCUGUCGCAAAGCUGGUGAGGAAGAGGAAAUGCCCAUCUAAGCUUGCUAAGCCUGGCACCUCUCCCACUGGGCUCUGAACACCCCCAGGACUCCCUGUGGCCAACAAGCCAAGACACUCGGGCCUUGAACAACCUGAGCAAACUGUGAAGCUUUGAACUACACGACUUCAAAGGUACACACACAUAUGGCAUAACAGCCAUGUUAUGUACUGAGCUGUAUUAAAUAAAACCUACAGAGGAUAUUCCUUGAUUUUUUUUGGACAAGAACCGUAAAUCUACUUGUACAGAAGCCAUAAGCUUUGUCAUACACAUCUGCUCCAAACCAUUUGACUUGUGUUUGUAAUCCUGAACUAUUCCUUUGCACACCCACCCCAAAUGGAGAGCAGUGCCCCCCAGUCCUGACCGUGCUGGGUACCCACAGCCCCCGGUUCCGGCCGUACCUCUACAUCCACGUUAGGAGAACUUUCUCUUGGAUCAUAAUCAUACAGUGCCACCAUCCUUCUUGUAGUCACUGGCUGUUGUCUGCCACUCCUUCUGCUUCUCUCUGCUCCAGUCACAGGGGGAGGAAGGUGAGGAAAAGCUAUCAAAGUUAUUUUGAAAAUAAAACCACGAUGCACCUUUCCCUCCCGGCCUUUUCCCAGCAGUGCAGCAGCAACGUGAGUGUUUCUCCAGCACAGUGAUAAAAAGUUACCAAACCUAUUAGCACAGAUAAAGGAUGUGAAACCACAUGUGCUUCACAAAUAAUAUUUAACACUCAUCUGGCCACCUAUUCUAAGCCACUGAAUCCUCUGAACAGUUUUAGUUGCAAAACUAAAGCUCUGCAAUUUUCAUCUUUUUUUUUUUAAAUAAGAAAAGAAGGUAGCAAGUCGAGUGGUGAAGUUACAAAUCCCCAUCUGCAGCAAAAGAUAUCAGCAAGAUUAAGUAUCAGUUGUAUAAAGUCAUCCAGAUACCAACACAGAUUAUAUUCCAUGGGGUAGCAAAUGGCUGGAAAACUUAGAUGCAUCUGCAUAUAUUGCAAACAAGAGGUACAGCAGAUCCAGCCAAGUUAAGAGCACCUAAAAGUCAGGAAAAGUGAAAUGUUCAUAUUUUCCCUUACCAAUUUUCUCAAUUGGUGUGUUCAAAGGAAGAAAACCUUGUUUAAGAAGCUGAUCCAUCAUCUCUUCAUCAUCUGCUUGGAUCUCAGAGACCAUGUUACACGGGAUAAGGCCAAUUCUUGCACAGGUUUCUCCACGAUAAAAUCCAUCAGCAUCUUUGUCCCCAUAAACCUGUUAUUCAGAGAGUGACAACAUUGGUCAGCAAAGGUUUUAGCAUUUAGGAAUUUUAAUGCAGGCUAAGUGGUUACCAAAGCAGAGAUGAUGACUGCAGUUUGCAUGUGGAAUUAUAUUAGUUAUUGACUGCUCUGACUUAGGUUAUAAAAUUGGAAUUGUGACAUUUAUUUGAAUUAUAACUCCAGACAUAUAAUUUACAGAAUUUGAACUUUUUUUUGUCAGCAGUGAAACGCACAAAAAGUACCUUACAAAUCAUCAGUCUCUCCCUGUGCUGAGCCAGAAGUUUACUUGAUGGUUUACAUUGAUGUUUAUGGAAUUAUGCUGGAAUUAUAUUCAAAAUGAAACGUUUGCAAAAAUUGUGCCAAAAUGUUGUUGUUUUGAUUCAAACAACUUUUAUGUGAUCAAAAAUGCCUAUCUAAUACAUAAUGUACUUGAUAUAUGUACUUAAGCUUUGCUUUGUCUUUAGAGAAAACAUGGUAUAAAAAUAGCAUGGAUGUCCUCAGUGAGAGCAUAUAAAUCCAAAAUUUCUCUGCAGGGCUAAAAAUGCAGUCAAGUCAUAAAGGCUGCUAAUGAUACAAAGGCCUAGAUCUAGGACUGUGCUAAACAAAAAUUAUGUUCCUAAAGUCAAACUGAUGACUGAGUUCCACUCAAAUCUGAGCUCAUUAAAACUGACUGAUUGCCUCAACUUUGUAGCACAGGAAUAUUUUUCAGCUUUAAUCCCUACCUGUCCCUGAGUCACCUGGCCUCACUCCUGCACACAGGACAGAAGAUGAGACUGUAACACGUGUACAGGUUUCCUACAGCUCGUGGAACUGACCCUCCACCACCCCACUGCUCAGGGAAUGUACCAGAAACAUUUUGGAAAUGGAAACUAAUCCAUCCUCACAACAGUUUGAAAAGAAAUUCAAAGCAGCAGUUCACAGAGCAGUCACCAUGGUCACCAAAUAUAAAAUAAACAUCACUGACAGUAAAUAUCUGAUGUGGGGUCUCACUAGACUUUUCAGUGCCAAACAGGUAAAUAUUUGUGAAGAAAUAAUUACAAUAUCUCAGCGAAAUGCACAGCCUUGCAAAGGAAAAUAAGCUCUUAACAAGAUCAAUUUUUUUGGCACAAACCUUGUAUCAUGGGGAGAGGUAAACAAAAUACAGAACAGAGUAUUCAAUGUUACAAAAAUUGUGAUUUAGAGUACAAACAUUUUUGUUAAGACUCAACACAGUGGAAGGCAGUCAGGAUUUUAAUAGCUUAAGAUAGAAUUUAAUCUCUGAAAUGGGUAAUAUUCAAAUGAGUCUAUUUUUUUCAGGUUCUCUUUCAGAUCACACUUAAACCUCAAUCACCCUUGGACUACCAGCAGCUGCUCCUUCUGCCUCUCUCAUUUCUGCCUGUUUUGCUGCAGAUCAAAUGGAUGCAAGGCUGCAGGAGGAAACACUUACUUCUGCUGAUUCCACAGAAAUAUCUGCUGGCUUUUUAAAACCAGAUCAGCAAGCUGAACAAAUUUGCCUUGCAGCUGCACUGUCAGAAGAUGAGGCGAGCUGGGAUGGAGGGCUGGGAAAAAACCCUUCCAGAGCCCAACCCCUGACAGAGCCAAUUUGUCCUCCGUGCCCCGUUUAAAGGCAAUGUGUGUAUUUUACACCAAACUGACAGAAAAGGGAACAGAAAUACAUGACUUCUGGACUUGGAAUCAGUCUAAAUUGUUUAUUAUCUAGGAGUGCCCAGCAUUUAAAAAAUACAGCAGCUCUGCUUUGUAUGAAGGCACAACACUCAACGCUCCUGGGGGACCUUUGCAGCUCCUCUCUGGAGCAGUUUCUCCUGCAGGGUUUGUGGCAAUGGACACAGGGAGCUUCAGUCACAAUUACAGCCUUCACACUAAAUCUCUAAUUAAGUCUGGCCCUAACUAUCUACAGAAACUUUGAGAUUUUUCUCCACCUUGUAAUUAUUUUUAAGCCAUUAGUACUAGAUUCCAGAUCCAGCGAGAUUUACAGCCCCUGAACCUCUGGAGGAAAAAAACCCCUUGGAUUCCAGUCACACAAGGGACAAAGGAGACCCUGUUUGCAAAACUGGGUCCUUCAUUUCCCUUGUUUUCAGAUCUCACCUUUAUGAUCUGUCCUUCUUUAAAGGGCAGCUCCUCCUCUGCGGCGUCAGGAUUUGGGGACAUGGUCAGCGGAUCGUAGUCAAAGAGUGCAACAAAUAUUCGAGUGGAAAUAUCUUCUGUGCCAGGAUCUGUUUCGGAUUCUUCAUAAAGGUCUGGAGAAAGAUGGUCAUGACCACCGUAGCCAUCUGGGAAAUUAAAGUCAGAAAAGAACAAGUCAGUAAUGCAAGUUGGCCCCAUCUUUCGACUAUUCCAGUUAAUAUUUGAAACACGUUUGGCAUUUCAGGGAAAAAAAAAUCCCCAAACCUCAAUGCAUGUCCUAUAAAGCUUGGUGGGUUGGUCUUUUUUUUUUUUUAAUUAGCAAGCUGGUACUUUUUUAAAAAGCCUAUAAAAUCUGCAUGCACUGAAAAUGGUGUUAUCUCCUACCCCACACUGACAUUUACACUUGUGGAUACAGCUCAGGUAGGAAAGCCAUUUUUGUCAGAUUUACUAGAGUUUACCAUAAAUUAAUGGAGCAUGUUAGGAGUGACAUAACAAUGAGUUUGACAGGCUUUUUCAUUCCUGAAAAAAUAACCAUGCUUUGGAUCCACUUGUUUUCCAGCACAGCUGUCUCUGCUCUUCAUGGACACAAGAAAGCACAUCCCAGCUGUGUUGACAAACCAUGUUUUAGAUACCAGGUUAAAAAUAAAACAUGGUUAUAACCUCUCCAGACAGGGAAGAAAGGAAGGUAUUUCAGCAGUGUUAGUCCUGCCAGGGUUGGAGCUACACUCUUUAUGAUUUUGUUGUAACACUGUCAAUGGUUAACGUAGUGCCCAAACCAACCCAAACCACUAACAAAUGUGUUAAAAUCCAGGAGAAAUGAUGAUUGCAUGUAACUAUAAUCUCAUUAGGAAAGACUAUCCUUGAAUAUCCCAACACUUGACACUGCCCUGAACUCUGUCCACUGUAGGGUAACAGGUCAAUUAGGACAUUAAAAAUGAGAAUGAACAUUUUGUCUCAUAUACCUUUCAAACUUUUCAAAUGACCUGGAGAAUGUGUUUAGUCCAUGAUUUGCCAACAUACUUAAGGAUGGACUUCAGAAAACCAGAUUGGAAGAUUAGGUCUAAGUGGCUAACACUGACUGUUCUGACUGAUGGGUUUAAAAGGUUUUUAAUUUUGGGUUGAGAGAGGAUGUGGCAGCACUUUCCCAAAUAGUCUCUUUCAAGACACAUGAACUUGAAGUCCCAAAAAUUAAAGCCCUGAAAAUCACAAGCCACUUGUGAAUAUCUUGGCUUAUUGAAAAGUCCCUCUGGCUUCACUGGGAGUCACAUACUUUUGUUCUUUGCUGAAUCAACAUUCAUCAUCAAGUUUGCAAGAUCCUUCACAAUGAAUAAAUCGAGAAAGUGAUGUUAUGAAUUAUGAUGAAAAUGUAGUUCAACUGUAUCAAUUUUUUCCAAUUUUCAUGUUAAUAAAAUUUUUACUGUAAUCACCUCUUGCAAAUUAAAGACUCACAGUUUUUUUUAA
This is an RNA transcript of Pseudopipra pipra, 12201 nucleotides long. It is a transcript of the gene named piwi like RNA-mediated gene silencing 1, with no coding region annotated. Lineage: Eukaryota; Metazoa; Chordata; Aves; Passeriformes; Pipridae. The record is from RefSeq and is a predicted model, not a curated record. The transcript is spliced from 25 exons.